This 468-nucleotide ribosomal RNA is filed under the name uncultured bacterium. Its description in RNAcentral is "partial 16S ribosomal RNA". It matches the Rfam family "Bacterial small subunit ribosomal RNA", at positions 28 to 507 of the family's 1533-position model. The record is from RNAcentral.
GACGAACGCUGGCGGCGUGCUUAACACAUGCAAGUCGAACGGCAAGGCCCUGCUUUUGUGGGGUGCUCGAGUGGCGAACGGGUGAGUAACACGUGAGUAACCUGCCCUUGACUUUGGGAUAACUUCAGGAAACUGGGGCUAAUACCGGAUAGGAGCUCCUGCUGCAUGGUGGGGGUUCGAAAGUUUCGGCGGUUGGGGAUGGACUCGCGGCUUAUCAGCUUGUUGGUGGGGUAGUGGCUUACCAAGGCUUUGACGGGUAGCCGGCCUGAGAGGGUGACCGGCCACAUUGGGACUGAGAUACGGCCCAGACUCCUACGGGAGGCAGCAGUGGGGAAUAUUGCACAAUGGGCGGAAGCCUGAUGCAGCAACGCCGCGUGCGGGAUGACGGCCUUCGGGUUGUAUACCGCUUUCGCCUGUGACGAAGCGUGAGUGACGGUAAUGGGUAAAGAAGCACCGGCUAACUACGUG